AUUGAACGCUGGCGGCAGGCCUAACACAUGCAAGUCGAGCGAGCGGCGGACGGGGGAGUAAUGUCUGGGAAACUGCCUGAUGGAGGGGGGUAACUACUGGAAACGGUAGCUAAUACCGCAUACCCUCAGAUGUGCCCAGAUGGGAUUAGCUAGUAGGUGGGGUAACGGCUCACCUAGGCGCCGAUCCCUAGCUGGUCUGAGAGGAUGACCAGCAACACUGGAACUGUGACACGGUCCAGACUCCUACGGGAGGCAGCAGUGUGGAAUAUUGCACAAUGGGCGCAAGCCUGAGGCAGCCAGGCCGCGUGUGUGAAGAAGGCCUUCGGGUUGUAAAGCACUUGCAGCGGGGAGGCGUUACCCGCAGAAGAAGCACCGGCUAACUCCGUGCCAGCAGCCGGGGUAAGUC
RNAcentral lists this ribosomal RNA (406 nucleotides) under uncultured bacterium. Its description in RNAcentral is "partial 16S ribosomal RNA". It matches the Rfam family "Bacterial small subunit ribosomal RNA", at positions 29 to 526 of the family's 1533-position model. The record is from RNAcentral.